This 679-nucleotide ribosomal RNA is filed under the name Winogradskyella sp. Its description in RNAcentral is "bacterial SSU rRNA". It matches the Rfam family "Bacterial small subunit ribosomal RNA", at positions 84 to 761 of the family's 1533-position model. Lineage: Bacteria; Pseudomonadati; Bacteroidota; Flavobacteriia; Flavobacteriales; Flavobacteriaceae. The record is from RNAcentral.
UGAGAUGACAAGUGGCGCACGGGUGAGUAACGCGUAUACAAUCNACCUUUUACAGGGGGAUAGCCUUUAGAAAUGAAGAUUAAUAUCCCAUAGUAAGUAGUUUUGGCAUCAAGACAACUUUAAAGUUUCGGCGGUAAAAGAUGAGUAUGCGUUCUAUUAGUUAGUUGGUAAGGUAACGGCUUACCAAGACCACGAUAGAUAGGGGCCCUGAGAGGGGGAUCCCCCACACUGGUACUGAGACACGGACCAGACUCCUACGGGAGGCAGCAGUGAGGAAUAUUGGACAAUGGGCGCGAGCCUGAUCCAGCCAUGCCGCGUGCAGGAAGACUGCCCUAUGGGUUGUAAACUGCUUUUAUACAGGAAGAAACCUUUUCACGUGUGAAAAGCUGACGGUACUGUAAGAAUAAGGAUCGGCUAACUCCGUGCCAGCAGCCGCGGUAAUACGGAGGAUCCAAGCGUUAUCCGGAAUCAUUGGGUUUAAAGGGUCCGUAGGUGGAUAAUUAAGUCAGGGGUGAAAGUUUGCAGCUCAACUGUAAAAUUGCCUUUGAUACUGGUUAUCUUGAAUUAUUGUGAAGUGGUUAGAAUAUGUAGUGUAGCGGUGAAAUGCAUAGAUAUUACAUAGAAUACCAAUUGCGAAGGCAGAUCACUAACAAUAUAUUGACACUGAUGGACGAAAGCG